RNAcentral lists this ribosomal RNA (468 nucleotides) under uncultured bacterium. RNAcentral describes it as "partial 16S ribosomal RNA". It matches the Rfam family "Bacterial small subunit ribosomal RNA", at positions 28 to 507 of the family's 1533-position model. The record is from RNAcentral.
GACGAACGCUGGCGGCGUGCUUAACACAUGCAAGUCGAACGGAAAGGCCCUGCUUUUGUGGGGUGCUCGAGUGGCGAACGGGUGAGUAACACGUGAGUAACCUGCCCUUGACUUUGGGAUAACUUCAGGAAACUGGGGCUAAUACCGGAUAGGAGCUCCUGCUGCACGGUGGGGGUUGGAAAGUUUCGGCGGUUGGGGAUGGACUCGCGGCUUAUCCGCUUGUUGGUGGGGUAGUGGCUUACCAAGGCUUUGACGGGUAGCCGGCCUGAGAGGGUGACCGGCCACAUUGGGACUGAGGUACGGCCCAGACUCCUACGGGAGGCAGCAGUGGGGAAUAUUGCACAAUGGGCGGAAGCCUGAUGCAGCAACGCCGCGUGCGGGAUGACGGCCUUCGGGUUGUAAACCGCUUUCGCAUGUGACGAAGCGUGAGUGACGGUAAUGGGUAAAGAAGCACCGGCUAACUACGUG